RNAcentral lists this ribosomal RNA (487 nucleotides) under uncultured bacterium. RNAcentral describes it as "bacterial SSU rRNA". It matches the Rfam family "Bacterial small subunit ribosomal RNA", at positions 28 to 516 of the family's 1533-position model. The record is from RNAcentral.
GAUGAACGCUAGCGGAAGGCUUAAUACAUGCAAGUCGAGCGGUAUAGUGACUUCGGUUGCUAGAGAGCGGCGCACGGGUGAGUAACGCGUACAUGACCUACCUCUAAGAUCGGGAUAGCCCUGGGAAACUGGGAUUAAUACCGGAUGUGAUAAUAAGUAUAAGGAUUUAUUAUUAAAGUUGAGGCGCUUAGAGAUGGGUGUGCGUCUGAUUAGCUAGUUGGUAGGGUAAGGGCCUACCAAGGCGACGAUCAGUAGGGGGCGUGAGAGCGUGAUCCCCCACACGGGUACUGAGACACGGACCCGACUCCUACGGGAGGCAGCAGUAGGGAAUAUUGGUCAAUGGACGGAAGUCUGAACCAGCCAUUCCGCGUGCAGGAAGAAGGUCCUAUGGACUGUAAACUGCUUUUAGCAGAGAAGAAACGCCUUCAUUUAUGAGGGUCUGACGGUAUCUGCGGAAUAAGCACCGGCUAACUCCGUGCCAGCAGCC